Molecule: long non-coding RNA, 850 nt
Organism: Octopus bimaculoides (California two-spot octopus)
Lineage: Eukaryota; Metazoa; Mollusca; Cephalopoda; Octopoda; Octopodidae
Source: RefSeq, a predicted model, not a curated record
AUCAUUUUUUAUUUCUAUUUUGUUUCUUUUAAUGAUAUUUUGUAUUAUUUUAUUUCCAUUUCCAGGGAAAUGAUUUGAAUCAGCAUUCGUGGAAAGGAUUCAGUGCGAAAUUCCAUGAGUAUUCCAGUGAGAGUUACGACUUAAGUUUAAAGACCUUGGACCUUUCAAAUAAACAUGGGAUUGUGUUCGAUUUCCAAGAAGUUGCUUUAUCAAACUACCUCCAGAAUGUACUGGAAACUGAGGUAAGUGGAAUCAUACUCUUUACUCUUUACUUAUUUCAGUCAUUUGACUGUGGCCACGCUGAAGCACUGCCUUUAGUUGAGCAAAUUGACCCCAGGAUUUAUUAUGACAAGUGACUGAGACCUUUGUCAAUAUGCUUGAGAAGACCCGUCAAGCCAAGUGAGAUCAUAGUCAUGGCUGAUGCUGGUAUCAUUCACUGGCCUGUUAAAAGCACCCUUCAAUUGCUGGGCGAUGCGCUGUGCUUGUGAGGACUUGUCAAACCAAGUGAAAUCAUAGACGUGGUUGAUGCCUGUGCUGUCUGAUUGGCACCCAUUCCGGUGGUAUGUAAAAAGCACCCUUCAUGCACUGUGCCUCAUAGAAGCAGUGACGUCAAGCCAAGUGGAAGUAGGAAGUAGGACAUUAAAUGAUGAUAACACAAUGAUAUAUACAUAUAUAUAUUUCUUUCUCAGACUGGAGCGAACACGACACAAUGAAGUAGAGAAAUUUGAAAAGACAACACGAAACCAGUUAUUUCUCAAAAUGCAAUGUUUAUAUACCAAAAAGAUUUUCUAACAUUUUUCUAACAUUUUUCUGACAUAAUUUAAAUAUAUACUUUAACCAUGUAACACAA